This 500-nucleotide ribosomal RNA is filed under the name uncultured Glomeromycotina. RNAcentral's name for it is "partial small subunit ribosomal RNA". It matches the Rfam family "Eukaryotic small subunit ribosomal RNA", at positions 591 to 1092 of the family's 1831-position model. The record is from RNAcentral. Lineage: Eukaryota; Fungi; Glomeromycota.
CCAAUAGCGUAUAUUAAAGUUGUUGCAGUUAAAAAGCUCGUAGUUGAAUUUCGGGGUCAGCAGGUUGGUCGUGCCAAUGGUAUGCACUGGCCUUGCUGAUUCCUCCCUCUUGAUGAGCCGUAAUGUCAUUAAUUUGGUGUUGCGGGGAAUCAGGACUGUUACUUUGAAAAAAUUAGAGUGUUUAAAGCAGGCAAGCGCUUGAAUACAUUAGCAUGGAAUAAUGAAAUAGGACGUUUAAUCCUAUUUUGUUGGUUUCUAGGAUUGACGUAAUGAUUAAUAGGGAUAGUUGGGGGCAUUAGUAUUCAAUUGUCAGAGGUGAAAUUCUUGGAUUUAUUGAAGACUAACUACUGCGAAAGCAUUUGCCAAGGAUGUUUUCAUUAAUCAAGAACGAAAGUUAGGGGAUCGAAGACGAUCAGAUACCGUCGUAGUCUUAACCAUAAACUAUGCCGACUAGGGAUCGGAUGAUGUUAAUUUUUUAAUGACUCAUUCGGCGCCUUACG